GGGUGGAUGGCAGAGUGGUCAAUUGCACUGCGCUGUAGACGCAGCGGCCGUAAGGCCUACGGGGGUUCAAAUCCCUCUCCACCCA
Molecule: transfer RNA, 85 nt
Filed under: Parcubacteria group bacterium RIFCSPHIGHO2_01_FULL_40_30
Lineage: Bacteria
Also listed under: 4 other names
Description: tRNA-Tyr
Rfam family: tRNA
About the family: Transfer RNA (tRNA) molecules are approximately 80 nucleotides in length. Their secondary structure includes four short double-helical elements and three loops (D, anti-codon, and T loops).
Source: RNAcentral